RNAcentral lists this unclassified non-coding RNA (87 nucleotides) under Pseudomonas synxantha. The record is from RNAcentral. Lineage: Bacteria; Pseudomonadati; Pseudomonadota; Gammaproteobacteria; Pseudomonadales; Pseudomonadaceae.
GUGGGAGGGGGCUUGCUCCCGAUAGCAGUGUGUCAGUCAGCUCAUCUGUAGCUGACCCACCGCCAUCGGGAGCAAGCCCCCUCCCAC